UACGAAGGGGGCUAGCGUUGCUCGGAAUCACUGGGCGUAAAGGGUGCGUAGGCGGGUCUUUAAGUCAGGGGUGAGAUCCUGGAGCUCAACUCCAGAACUGCCUUUGAUACUGAGGAUCUUGAGUACGGGAGAGGUGAGUGGAACUGCGAGUGUAGAGGUGAAAUUCGUAGAUAUUCGCAAGAACACCAGUGGCGAAGGCGGCUCACUGGCCCGUAACUGACGCUGAGGCACGAAAGCGUGGGGAGCAAACAGG
RNAcentral lists this ribosomal RNA (253 nucleotides) under uncultured bacterium. Its description in RNAcentral is "partial 16S ribosomal RNA". It matches the Rfam family "Bacterial small subunit ribosomal RNA", at positions 524 to 776 of the family's 1533-position model. The record is from RNAcentral.